Homo sapiens (human) is the source of this 653-nucleotide long non-coding RNA. Lineage: Eukaryota; Metazoa; Chordata; Mammalia; Primates; Hominidae. The record is from Ensembl.
CUCUUUGCUGAUGAAAGCUGACAUUUCACGGGAAGAACAGUCAAUCCCUGGGAAGAUGCUGGGACCAAAGGAGCCACAAACGUUUCCAAAAUCUGGAGAGCGGCUGUGAGUUUGCAGUGCAGUAUGGGGAGAGACCAGAACCCACCGGAAGCCUCCAGGUGCUGCAGUGAGGAGGAGCUGGAACCCUUCUCCUCCAGGUGCCAGCUCGCGCUGCUGUGGUUCUCAUCUGUAGAGGACGUGGACCAUCCAGGGAAUCACCUGCAGCUGACAGAGGAAACUCUGAAGCCCACCAGGCCUGUACAGACUGGGGAAACACCAGUGCCUGAGGAUAGUGGCUAAACUGCCAGAGAACAUGGGGCUGAGGUGGAGCCUGGAUGACUCUUCUGCCUCUGAGCAAAGCUGCUUGCCCUACACACAACAGUAUUGUCUUAACAUCUGCUGAGUUCCCAGGUCCUCUUAGCAGCAGGCAGAGGCAUUCAGAGCCCAGACCCCAAAGACAUGCUGAUCUGGUUUAAACCUGACUGUGCUACUCAUCAACUGGGGGACCUAGGCAGGUUACAUUGUCUUUUUGUGCCUCAGUUUCCUCAUCUAUAGAAUAGAGGUAUUCUAGUUUCCUGUGAUUUCUGUAAUAAAUUUACAAACUUUGUAACAAA